Molecule: transfer RNA, 58 nt
Filed under: Chudania hellerina
Lineage: Eukaryota; Metazoa; Arthropoda; Insecta; Hemiptera; Cicadellidae
Description: tRNA-Ser
Source: RNAcentral
AAGAGAUUAAAAAUUUAGCUUCUAACUAAAAAUAUAGCAAUUCAAUGUUUGUCUCUUU